GAUCAUCUCCAUCAGGCCCAGCCGGAUCACUGCCGCCUUGGUGUUGUCCCCGCAACGCAGACCAUCACAGAACCCUGCCCCCACCGCCACAAUGUUCUGCCCAGUGACAGAGGGGAGAGCAAACAUAAUGUUUAUCAGCUACCUCAUUGGCGAUGUUGGCGCCCAUUAAAACGCUGACGUCGAUCCCCAUCUUCUCCCGGAUGAUGUCAGAGAUCAGUCGGAUUCCUUCGGGACCCUCAUCUAUGCCCUGCCAAGAGGGGGGAAUGAGAGGGAGUCACUGAUCAGAGACAGCAGUGCCUGUCCCAAAUGUCAUACAGCAUCUGUGCCAUCACCAAAAUGAAGGUCUGUCUUUGGGUGUUUCAAUUGCACAUGCUAAAUCCUGCCAUACUGGUACAUCAAAUUGAAAUUUCCACUUUCUGACGAAGUCUAUAGGGCAAUGCUCAGAGUCAGACACUGCUUUGCACUGACUGAGGAAUGUAUCACCAAAUUAAUCAACUAAUCAAAAUGGAGACUAGGUCCUUUACUGGGAUUGUUGUAAUUAAGUAGUUUAAAAAUGAAUUAACAAAUACCCAGUCCAUAUUUUAUGUACAUAGCAACUUGCCAAUCAGCCCAGUCCCUGGACCUCCAGAGACCAAUUUACCAUGAAAAGCCUGAUAGAUUGCAGGUCUUCAUAUGUACUGAUUCCACAGAAAUUCCUUCCCCCUGAUUUCUUGAAUUUCAUUUAAAUCACAUUCUUAACAAAAAUAUAUUUUUCACCAAAAUGUAAUGAACAUGCAAUUAAUUCUACAUUUCGAACUGAAAUGGUUGUAGAACAUCUGUUGCCUCAUUCUUUUAUGCAAUUAAGCAGAUUCUACUGUAGUUACUUUACUGUGUCUAACAUUGCACAUAAACUUGAAAGUAGCCAAAACUUGGUGUCAUUCAGGGCCAAAUUGUACCAGUAAAUGCACAGACCAUUUCUAUUUGUUUUACAGGUGUUUUUUGUUGCGCAAGUUCUCCUAUAGGCAGCUCAAAAGACCACUUAGGUGGCCCUUCUAAGACAUUUCAAUGCAGGAAAAACCCUGGUAGUUUAUGUCAUUAAAGGGAGCUAACCAAACUCAAAUCUCGUUUAAUGAUUGGCCUUAAAUUAGAUUUCUUUACACUCUCAGAAGUGAGAAGUCUUACCGUUGUGUCAUCCUAUGAACCAGCAAUAUCUGAAACGUGUGGUGCAUUAAAAACUGGACAAUAUAUACAGUAUCUGCAUACUUUGUAAACAUUAUAAGAAACUUGACUUGUUCAGUGCAUUUAUAUUUGUUGCCUACAAAAAAACCAAGACAUCCUCAGAAACACACCUGCAAUUCAAUAAAAUUCAAGUGACACAU
Anguilla rostrata (American eel) is the source of this 1358-nucleotide long non-coding RNA. RefSeq lists it as uncharacterized. The record is from RefSeq and is a predicted model, not a curated record. Lineage: Eukaryota; Metazoa; Chordata; Actinopteri; Anguilliformes; Anguillidae. The transcript has 2 exons.